This 492-nucleotide ribosomal RNA is filed under the name uncultured bacterium. Its description in RNAcentral is "partial 16S ribosomal RNA". It matches the Rfam family "Bacterial small subunit ribosomal RNA", at positions 29 to 507 of the family's 1533-position model. The record is from RNAcentral.
AGUGAACGCUGGCGGUAGGCCUAACACAUGCCAGUCGAACGGCAGCACAGUAAGAGCUUGCUCUUACGGGUGGCGAGUGGCAGACGGGUGAGGAAUACAUCGGAAUCUACUUUUUCGUGGGGGAUAACGUAGGGAAACUUACGCUAAUACCGCAUACGACCUACGGGUGAAAGCAGGGGAUCUUCGGACCUUGCGCGAUUGAAUGAGCCGAUGUCGGAUUAGCUAGUUGGCGGGGUAAAGGCCCACCAAGGCGACGAUCCGUAGCUGGUCUGAGAGGAUGAUCAGCCACACUGGAACUGAGACACGGUCCAGACUCCUACGGGAGGCAGCAGUGGGGAAUAUUGGACAAUGGGCGCAAGCCUGAUCCAGCCAUACCGCGUGGGUGAAGAAGGCCUUCGGGUUGUAAAGCCCUUUUGUUGGGAAAGAAAAGCAGCAGGUUAAUACCCCGCUGUUCUGACGGUACCCAAAGAAUAAGCACCGGCUAACUUCGUG